Molecule: ribosomal RNA, 433 nt
Filed under: Streptococcus mutans
Lineage: Bacteria; Bacillati; Bacillota; Bacilli; Lactobacillales; Streptococcaceae
Description: bacterial SSU rRNA
Rfam family: Bacterial small subunit ribosomal RNA
Source: RNAcentral
CAAUGGACGAAAGUCUGACCGAGCAACGCCGCGUGAGUGAAGAAGGUUUUCGGAUCGUAAAGCUCUGUUGUAAGUCAAGAACGUGUGUGAGAGUGGAAAGUUCACACAGUGACGGUAGCUUACCAGAAAGGGACGGCUAACUACGUGCCAGCAGCCGCGGUAAUACGUAGGUCCCGAGCGUUGUCCGGAUUUAUUGGGCGUAAAGGGAGCGCAGGCGGUCAGGAAAGUCUGGAGUAAAAGGCUAUGGCUCAACCAUAGUGUGCUCUGGAAACUGUCUGACUUGAGUGCAGAAGGGGAGAGUGGAAUUCCAUGUGUAGCGGUGAAAUGCGUAGAUAUAUGGAGGAACACCAGUGGCGAAAGCGGCUCUCUGGUCUGUCACUGACGCUGAGGCUCGAAAGCGUGGGUACCGAACAGGAUUAGAUACCCUGGUAUC